UACGUAGGGUGCAAGCGUUGUCCGGAAUUAUUGGGCGUAAGGAGCUCGUAGGCGGUUCGUCGCGUCGGCUGUGAAAACCCGGAGCUCAACUCCGGGCCUGCAGUCGAUACGGGCGGACUAGAGUUCGGCAGGGGAGACUGGAAUUCCUGGUGUAGCGGUGAAAUGCGCAGAUAUCAGGAGGAACACCGGUGGCGAAGGCGGGUCUCUGGGCCGAUACUGACGCUGAGGAGCGAAAGCGUGGGGAGCGAACAGG
Molecule: ribosomal RNA, 253 nt
Filed under: uncultured bacterium
Lineage: Bacteria
Description: partial 16S ribosomal RNA
Rfam family: Bacterial small subunit ribosomal RNA
Source: RNAcentral